Notolabrus celidotus (New Zealand spotty) is the source of this 687-nucleotide long non-coding RNA. RefSeq lists it as uncharacterized. The transcript has 3 exons. NCBI's taxonomy places the organism in Eukaryota, Metazoa, Chordata, Actinopteri, Labriformes, Labridae. The record is from RefSeq and is a predicted model, not a curated record.
ACAAGCUACCUAACCUGAACCGCCCUGAACUCAUUACAGUGGAUAAUGAAGGUGGAGAAAUCUGAUUCUACAUGCAGCAGGAGUUGGCAGAGUUGAGAUUUCCAAGUGACAUCACCUGUAUGCCUGAAAAACUGUGAAUCACAGAGAGAAGAGAGGACGCACCUGCUGAUUUUUCUUCCCCUCUGGUGAUAGAUGACUAAAUGGAACAGGUCUUGGCUCUAGGAAGUGGAUGAAGAGAGGUAGAGAGCUGUGGAGAAAGAAGAGUGAGAGUCACACAAAGAAAGGGAAGGAAGACUGAAACUGAAAGCAGCUUACAAACUAUAUAUAGGGCAGAUGUGGUGCUGGUGAAGCUUCUUAUAAUAGAGGUGGUUGUUGGCAUCAGAUUACACCUCUGCACCCCCUCUCUGUCUCUCUGUCUUGUUCUCCUUUGCCUCUCUCUUGCUCCUUCGGUCCUGGCUCACAACUCUUUAUUUACCCCCGCAGACCUCACAUUUACAGCACAAUUACCCCUGAGGACGUCAUCAGCCCGCUCUCCACUCCACAGCUGUCGGUGGUGGAGUCCAGAGUAGGGAGAUGGAUGGAUGGGAGGGGGAAGGGGAGGGAGGGAAAAGAUUUUACUUGCCAUGUUCCUCAUUCGAGAUCCCCUGCUGAACCAGUGUCAGGGUUUCAUGGAGGCUGUUUGUUUCC